AAAAAUACAAACCCUGGGUUUCCGUGUCCAACAUUUGACCGUCCGUCUUAUUUGAAGAAAUUAUGAAAAAAAAUAAAAAGAAAAGUCACGCAUAAAGUAUUAAUCAUGUUUUAUCAUCUAACAAUAAUAAAAAUACUGAUUAUAAAAAAACGUCAUAUAAGACAGACAGUCAAAUAUUGGACACGAAAACCUAGGGUUUUUCUUUUU
Oryza glumipatula is the source of this 207-nucleotide non-coding RNA. The record is from Rfam. Lineage: Eukaryota; Viridiplantae; Streptophyta; Magnoliopsida; Poales; Poaceae.